UACGUAGGGGGCAAGCGUUAUCCGGAUUUACUGGGCGUAAAGGGAGCGUAGGCGGCCUGCCAAGUCUGAUGUGAAAUACCGGGGCUCAACCCCGGGGCUGCAUUGGAAACUGGCAGGCUGGAGUGCCGGAGAGGCAGGCGGAAUUCCUAGUGUAGCGGUGAAAUGCGUAGAUAUUAGGAGGAACACCAGUGGCGAAGGCAGCUUACCAGACUGUUACUGACGCUGAAGCACGAGAGCGUGGGUAGCGAACAGG
Molecule: ribosomal RNA, 253 nt
Filed under: uncultured Lachnospiraceae bacterium
Lineage: Bacteria; Bacillati; Bacillota; Clostridia; Lachnospirales; Lachnospiraceae
Description: partial 16S ribosomal RNA
Rfam family: Bacterial small subunit ribosomal RNA
Source: RNAcentral